RNAcentral lists this ribosomal RNA (468 nucleotides) under uncultured bacterium. RNAcentral's name for it is "partial 16S ribosomal RNA". It matches the Rfam family "Bacterial small subunit ribosomal RNA", at positions 28 to 507 of the family's 1533-position model. The record is from RNAcentral.
GACGAACGCUGGCGGCGUGCUUAACACAUGCAAGUCGAACGGAAAGGCCCUGAUUUUGUGGGGUGCUCGAGUGGCGAACGGGUGAGUAACACGUGAGUAACCUGCCCUUGACUUUGGGAUAACUUCAGGAAACUGGGGCUAAUACCGGAUAGGAGCUCCUGCUGCAUGGUGGGGGUUGGAAAGUUUCGGCGGUUGGGGAUGGACUCGCGGCUUAUGAGCUUGUUGGUGGGGUAGUGGUUUACCAAGGCUUUGACGGGUAGCCUGCCUGAGCGGGGGACCGGCCACAUUGGGACUGAGAUACGGCCCAGACUACUACGGGAGGCAGCAGUGGGGAAUAUUGCACAAUGGGCGGAAGCCUGAUGCAGCAACGCCGCGUGCGGGAUGAUGGCCUUCGGGUUGUAAACCGCUUUCGCCUGUGACGAAGCCGGAGUGACGGUAAUGGGUAAAGAAGCACCGGCUAACUACGUG